GUCCGUUUAGCCGGAAUAGUUUCACUUCUUCUAAUACUUUCUCCAACCACCACCAAUUCACCGUGGUAAAACGAAACAUUAACGUUCUUCACUAUAAACAACGCCGGAUUAGGAUUAUGUAACGAGAUUUCGACUGAGACUGUAGUGUUUUGGUUCGUGUUGACUUUACCGUUGACAAAAUCGAACCGUUGGUUGAAAGAUAUGGAAUCGACGGUGAGGUUUGGGCUAUGGAGAUGGAAAACCGUGAGGGAGAGCACGAUGAAGGUGACUGCGAUGAGCAUAGUUAAAGAUGCGAUGAAACCACAACAUAAGAUGAGUUUGGUCUGUGAAUGGACGUAUUUGGUUCGGUCGUGGUGGUACUGAUCUUCUUCGUCUGGUUGGUCGCUUCGGGUAGUGAGAAAAAGUGGAGCUAAAGGCUUAGCUUGAUCCUCGUUAAUCUUACUCAUGGCUAGCUCCAUUUUCU
This is a long non-coding RNA of Arabidopsis thaliana (thale cress), 463 nucleotides long. RefSeq annotates it as other RNA. The transcript has a single exon. NCBI's taxonomy places the organism in Eukaryota, Viridiplantae, Streptophyta, Magnoliopsida, Brassicales, Brassicaceae. The record is from RefSeq.